AUUGAACAGCUGGUUGCCUGCCUUAUUCUUGUCCGUCAAACGGUAACAUGUCUUCUGAUGCUGACCAAUGUCCAAACUCUAAUUCAUACUUCGAACCGUGUCCUGACAUGAGGGAUCUCUAGGUGAAUGCUUUGCUUUUGCCCCAUACAAUCUAACGAUGAUGUCACGGCUACCGCAUAGGCGCUUGCGCGUUUGUAGCGGCCGAUGGCACAUUCCGUAGUUGUGUGGGAUAAAAGCUUACCUAGCCUACCAUCUGUAGCUGGUCUGAAAAGACGACCAGCCCGCUGUCACUGAGACACUGCCCACACUCCUACCGGAGGCAGCUGAGGAGAAUUUUGGACCAUGGUGCUAUAGCCUGAUCCAACAGUGCCGCCUGCUCGAUGAAAGUCUUCAGGUUGUCAACUGCUUUUGUAGUUCUCCACGAUGCUCUGGUUUAUACCUGGUGCUCCUGACCGUGCCGGAGGACUCAUCACCUGCUUUCUACUUGCCUCCUGCCACCGUACUCCCCAGGGUGCCAGCGUUUCUCGGAAUUUCUGGCCCUAAUCCCUGCGCGGCGGUUUUGUUAGACGGAUGUGAAAUCCCCGGGCUCUACCUGGGAACUGCCUUUGAGACUGCUUAGCUGGAGUGCGGCAGAGGAGGAUGGAAUUCCGCGUGUAGCGGUGAAAUGCGUAGAUAUGUGGAGGAACACCGAUGGCGAAGGCAAUCCCCUGGGCCUGCACUGACGCUCAUGCAUGAAAGCGUGGGGAGCAAACAGGAUUAGAUACCCUGGUAGUCCACGCCCUAAACGAUGUCAACUGGUUGUUGGGUUUUAAGUGCAUCAGUUACGAAGAUAACGCGCGAAGUUGGCAGCAUGGGGAGUACGGCCGCAAGGUUGAAAGUCAAAGGAUUUGAGGGGGACCUGCACAAGCGGUGGAUGAUGAGGUCUAAUUCGUCGUAACGGGAAAAACCUUACCCACCUCAGACAUCUAUGGAAUCCCUCAGAGAUAGAGGAGAGCUGGAAAGAGAGCAGUAUCCCAGGUUCCGCAUGGCUGUCGUCAGUUGGAGUCGUGAGAGGGUGUCAUAAGUACCGCAACGAGUGCUCCCCUUAGCAUUAGUAGAUAUGAAAGCGCACUUAAACGGGUCCCCCGCCGACAAGCUGGUGGAAGGUGGGGUCGUCGACAAGUCCUCGGGCACUUUAUAUGCCGGGCUACACACGUCAUGCAAUGGGUGGUACAGAGGUUCGCCAACCCAUGAGGUGGAGCCAAUACCACAAAACCAGUAGUAGUCAGUAUCGCAUUCGGCAAUUAGAUCGGGAGCAGUCGGAAUCUCUAGUAAUGGCGGAUCAGAAUGUAGCGGUGAAUAAGUUCCCGGUUUG
This 1354-nucleotide ribosomal RNA is filed under the name uncultured bacterium. RNAcentral describes it as "partial 16S ribosomal RNA". It matches the Rfam family "Bacterial small subunit ribosomal RNA", at positions 28 to 1381 of the family's 1533-position model. The record is from RNAcentral.